RNAcentral lists this ribosomal RNA (385 nucleotides) under Nephroselmis pyriformis. RNAcentral's name for it is "partial Bacterial large subunit ribosomal RNA". It matches the Rfam family "Bacterial large subunit ribosomal RNA", at positions 1290 to 1674 of the family's 2925-position model. Lineage: Eukaryota; Viridiplantae; Chlorophyta; Nephroselmidophyceae; Nephroselmidales; Nephroselmidaceae. The record is from RNAcentral.
GCGAAUGCUGACAUGAGUAACGACAAUGGGUGUGAAAAACACCCACGCCGAAAGACCAAGGUUUCCUGCGCAACGUUAAUCGACGCAGGGUUAGUCGGUCCCUAAGGCGAGGCUGAAAAGCGUAGUCGAUGGAAAACAGGUUAAUAUUCCUGUACUUCUGGUUAUUGCGAUGGAGGGACGGAGAAGGCUAGGCCAGCUUGGCGUUGGUUGUCCAAGUUUAAGGUGGUAGGCUGAGAUCUUAGGUAAAUCCGGGAUCUUAAGGCCGAGAGCUGAUGACGAGUGUUCUUUUAGAACACGAAGUGGUUGAUGCCAUGCUUCCAAGAAAAGCUUCUAAGCUUCAGGUAACCAGGAACCGUACCCCAAACCGACACAGGUAGAAAUAAAG